Molecule: ribosomal RNA, 484 nt
Filed under: uncultured bacterium
Lineage: Bacteria
Description: SSU rRNA
Rfam family: Bacterial small subunit ribosomal RNA
Source: RNAcentral
AGAGCGAACGCUGGCGGCGUGCUUAACACAUGCAAGUCGAACGAGGUCUGUAGCAAUACAGAUACUCGUGGCGAACGGGUGCGUAACACGUGGAUAACCUUCCUUCAGGUGGGGAAUAACCCAGUGAAAAUUGGGCUAAUACCGCAUAACAUGACGAUGCCACAUGGUGUUGUCUUCAAAGGCGCAAGUCGCCAGAAGAGGGAUCCGCGGCCGAUUAGCUAGUUGGCGAGGUAAUGGCUCACCAAGGCAAUGAUCGGUAGCCGGACUGAGAGGUUGGCCGGCCACACUGGAACUGAGACACGGUCCAGACUCCUACGGGAGGCAGCAGUGGGGAAUCUUGCACAAUGGACGAAAGUCUGAUGCGCAACGCCGCAUGGGGAUGAAGCUUUUCGGAGUGUAAACCCCUUUCGACCCGGAAGAAAGCCCGCAAGGGUUUGACGGUACGGGUAUAAGAAGCCCCGGCUAACUACGUGCCAGCAGCCGC